This is a long non-coding RNA of Bos taurus (domestic cattle), 2930 nucleotides long. Lineage: Eukaryota; Metazoa; Chordata; Mammalia; Artiodactyla; Bovidae. The record is from Ensembl.
GUAAGUAAAGAUUUUCUGGAUUAAAAAAGGAGGAGAAAGGAGAGUCCAGACAGAAGGAAGACCUCAAAGGCUCAUUCACUAGUGAAUAAGGAGCAGUCUGGGAACCAGUAACCAGUCUGGUAUGCCAGAGGGCGGGCUUCAGGGCAAGAUGAAGCUGGCUAGAUAGGCUGAGCUUUGCAUGCCCACUCGAGAGUCAACACUUCCUCCUUGAGUUGCUGGGGGAGCUAGCUUCACCACUGUGGGAGUUAUCAGAUUCCUGCUUUGGAAGCAUCUGAGAACAGCAAUGUGGCAGAAGGCCUGGGAUUUUUCAGACUUCAGGGCACUCAGUUUUGCCUUUAAUGGAAAACCAACCUGGGUUGUACCAAUGGAAAGAGGUACAAGGUUGACCCUGGCAUCUGGAUACCCAAAGAAGCUGCAUGCAGGGUCUGUUUGGACAAUUCUAUAGAAAUGGUUGAUGUGGAAAGGUGCUGAAUGUCUUGGCCCCUCCAGGACUGCCCAGGUAAUUCUGACACUUUAUCACUACUCCUGGUUCUCACUGACUACACUCAGCAGAAUUCUGAUUUAAUAGUAAUUGCUAUACUUACAUGGGUCCAGGACUGUGCUAAGGUCCUUAGCCUUGCUUGCUAAGGCAUUCUGCCUUGAAAGAUGUUUUCAUCUUGUAGUGUCCUGUAAAACUUUUGUAAAAUAUUAGUUGUGACCUUUUCAUGUGAUACAUCCCCCCCCCUAUUAAGAACUACAUUUAUCUUUCUUUAAAAAAAUCCACAGUUCUUCAGCAUGGUUUAUCCCUUUCUGCUACUAGCACUACUUUACACCCAAUCCUUUUUCUUCUAAGAAUACAAGUCCUUCCAUCAGGAGGCCACAUUUUAGCCAGGGCUGGCUCUAGACGAUGUGUGGAUUCUCUACGCAGCCUCUCCCUCUGCUCGAGGAAGUUCCUUAGUUAGAUAGGUACUAUAGGCAGUAGAAGGAAAAAACUAAUUAUGACUUGGUGGAGUCUGGUCUCAGGUAUGCUCAGGUUUGUGCAAGGUCCAUUAUUCCAUGGCUGUUGUCAUUGGGAGGCUACACUUACAGAAAAGUGAUUCUGCACCCAGCACACCAGCCUGACUGUCAAACACAUCUGAAGCACGACAAGAUACAUUUUUUAAGUGCUGACACAGGGUGUGUGAGAGGACACCCAGCUGACUUAAAAGAGUGGGGCAGGGUUGUCUAGGUAAAUAAUCACUGUCAAGUUUGCCAGAUAUGACAGGUAACUCCCUAGAAGAACACCCAGGCCAUUCCUUUCAAAGUCAGGCAGUCAAGAGGCUGCUGAGUUUCCUCAACGCUGGCUACCUACUUGGGUAACAUGACUGCUCAUCAAACAGUCAAUGCUAGCGGGGAACUGUGAGUGCCAUAACAGCCACUGUUGUACCCAGGAGUUCUGUGUCUAUAAAGCUGAGUGGUCCAGAUUUGCUUCGUUUGGAAACAGGAGCCAGAAGAUGAAAUGUGCCAAUAGACAGUCAUGAGUAGUUGAUCAUGUUACUUCAGUUGAUUAUUUCAGUCUCACUACUCCUCAAUCAUGGAUGUUUUUAGAAUCUAUACAGUCAAAAUAGUUUUUGGUGUCACUGGGGUUGCUACUUUCAAGAGACACAAACUCUCACGGCAGAAGGACCUCCAUCUGAGCUACAGGCAUGGCAUUCGUAACUGCAGAGUCCCGGCAAACCGGAAAUGACACCGUCACUAGCAUGACUUUGUGUUGCUAAUACCAGGUGGCCAGUACCUGAUUGUUCCAUUUCCUCUCUUUCUCUCUGCCUCUCUAUCCAAAAAGGACUCAGCAAGAGGACAUGAACUGGAAUUAUGCUGGAAAAAACAACAAAACCCAGUUUGGUCUGGCAUAAGGAAAUACAUAUCGUCCGUAGAAAUACUAAAAAACCAAGCUAAAAACUGGCUCCAAUCCUGGGACACCACGGCUGGCAGUGCUAUACAGGAUCCGUGCCUCUACGUUCAGAUUUGAAAAGAGAAGAGAAUAUCACCAGUCUUGAGCAAGUCAGGACUUUACUUGCCUGGGGAGUUGGGGGAAGAAUGUGAAACUAAUUGUCUUCUCAAGACAUGGUAUUCUGUAGCCAUGGAAUUCUGGGAGUAGCUGGAGGAGGAGCGAGAGACUGAUCUUGAUGCCCGCAGAAGACUCAGGCUAUGUCUGCCGACCUGAUCCCAGGGCCUUCCAAAAGCAACAUGAGACUCCUGGGAAAGCUCAGAGAUUUUGCUCCAUAGUAGUCCACUCUGAUACCUAGUUCACUCCCCUAAUCUGCCCUAACAUUCCUUUUUCCAAAAGACAAGAGUCAGAAGUGGGGAGCAAAGGUAGUGGAGGGCAAAACCCAUUUUCAGUCUGUAAGUUCCUUCUUUUUCGUUGGCUCAUAUUCUGAACAGUGUCUCCAGUUCUGUAGCUGAUGGGGAGGAGGGGAGCCUGGCCAGGGAAAGGGAAGCAGAGCAGCCAUCUGUCAGGGCCCAGCAUUGCCCAGAGAAACUAGGAAGGGCUCUACCUAAAAUUCCCAUUGGCGCCAGUCCAAUUUCCCUCAGCUUCAAAUCAGGGCCAACUGAGGAGGGAGGGACAUGCUUCCAAAGUGGUCAAGGUGGGGCCAAAUGUUUACAGGUACGCUUCAGUAAGGAGCUCUGAAAGCCAGUGUCUGGACCUUCUGGCCGCCCCCACAGUAGCUCCAGUUAAGGUUCCGAUGGGGCAGGUGAUCUAAAAUGCCAAAUGUAUUAAAAGCAUUAUGUUGCACUCUAGUUAGAAAGCACAGUGGUACAGUGUGCUGGUCCCCUCUGGCCCCUGUGAACAGGUCCCCAAGCUGUUCAAAGUCUGCAAGGAGUACAUGUAUGCUGCCCCUAUGUGCCUUUUUUCUUGGGUUUUCAAUAAUAGCUUCCCUGAGUCCUAUCUCAGUCUUUGCCAAUCUUAAUUC